This 675-nucleotide ribosomal RNA is filed under the name Bacillus thuringiensis. Its description in RNAcentral is "bacterial SSU rRNA". It matches the Rfam family "Bacterial small subunit ribosomal RNA", at positions 35 to 692 of the family's 1533-position model. The record is from RNAcentral. Lineage: Bacteria; Bacillati; Bacillota; Bacilli; Caryophanales; Bacillaceae.
GCUGGCGGCGUGCCUAAUACAUGCAAGUCGAGCGAAUGGAUUGAGAGCUUGCUCUCAAGAAGUUAGCGGCGGACGGGUGAGUAACACGUGGGUAACCUGCCCAUAAGACUGGGAUAACUCCGGGAAACCGGGGCUAAUACCGGAUAACAUUUUGAACUGCAUGGUUCGAAAUUGAAAGGCGGCUUCGGCUGUCACUUAUGGAUGGACCCGCGUCGCAUUAGCUAGUUGGUGAGGUAACGGCUCACCAAGGCAACGAUGCGUAGCCGACCUGAGAGGGUGAUCGGCCACACUGGGACUGAGACACGGCCCAGACUCCUACGGGAGGCAGCAGUAGGGAAUCUUCCGCAAUGGACGAAAGUCUGACGGAGCAACCGCCGCGUGAGUGAUGAAGGCUUUCGGGUCGUAAAACUCUGUUGUUAGGGAAGAACAAGUGCUAGUUGAUAAGCUGGCACCUUGACGGUACCUAACCAGAAAGCCACGGCUAACUACGUGCCAGCAGCCGCGGUAAUACGUAGGUGGCAAGCGUUAUCCGGAAUUAUUGGGCGUAAAGCGCGCGCAGGUGGUUUCUUAAGUCUGAUGUGAAAGCCCACGGCUCAACCGUGGGAGGGUCAUUGGAACUGGGAGACUUGAGUGCAGAAAAGGAAAGUGGAUUCAUGUUUAGCGGUGAAAUGCGUA